Panicum virgatum (switchgrass) is the source of this 1086-nucleotide long non-coding RNA. RefSeq lists it as uncharacterized. The record is from RefSeq and is a predicted model, not a curated record. The transcript has 2 exons. NCBI's taxonomy places the organism in Eukaryota, Viridiplantae, Streptophyta, Magnoliopsida, Poales, Poaceae.
UUUUAGGAUUUUUUUAUUUUUUUGAAUUCAAAUUUGAAUUUUGAAUUUGGGCCGGUUUGGUACCGGCCCAAACCGGAACCGGUCCGGACCGGUAACCGGUCAAACCGGACCGGUUCCCACCGGUUUUGCAAACCCUGAGUUGGGUGUCUUAGUUAUAACUAAUAACAUUGAGCAUGCUAUUCACAUUGUCAUAAAACAACCGAGUGUGUAGUCUGUAGUGCAUGGCAGAUCCGAAUAUGAAUUGUGAAUUUGUGAUAGUUUGUGGAGGCAGGAUGUCAGUCAGAUAAGUAGGACAAAAUAGUAUAACAGGUUUUUUCCUAUUGACAUGUGCAGAAGGUUUGCAGUUUUGUGCCUAGUUGUUACUAGAAGGUUUGUGCGUUAAAAUAAUGCUAGAUAUUGAUGAUUUAGCUUUCCUCAGACUAUGUCAUAUGGAUUGGUAUCAAGCAAGUUUCAAGUAAUAACUGCAUAAGUUACCCUGAUAAAUAAUAACUGCAUAUACCUUGAUACUAACCAAGCUUGUUAAUAGAGAAAAAUGUUUCUUCCUCUAUUUGGAACAGAAUAUAUAUGGGAUCUACCAAUAGCGUAUAUCAGCAGAGUUGGGCUCCUGGAAAGUAAAUUUGACCUUCAAGAGCUGGCACCAAACCUUGAGGACGAAAAGUUUGAUGAUUGGUGGGCAACUGCAAGUGGAAGGGUGACUGGUCAGGUUCUUAAUGGGUUGAAUUCCAUCAUAAUUCUGGGAGCCUGGAACUUGUGGAAUCACCGUAGUCGUUGUGUAUUUGAUGGCGCUUCACCCAGCAUCUCUAACAUCAUCUCAUCCACCUGUGUAGACAUGCAUCAGUGGUCUUUGGCUGGGGCUAGAGGAGUUUCCUAUCUCCUUGCACUGGCACCUGGGGACCGUUAGAGGUUUUGGAUUUGGUUUUGGUCCUGUCCUGGUCAAGUCCUAGUUUUGGAGUGUUAAUGUCAUGAGGAUGUAAUAUAUAUGGGGGGUUACAGCCCCUUCAUAUCUGUAACAUUUGGGAUAAAACCCCUUCCUUUUCCUUCUUAAUAUAAUGAUGCGCAGUUCUCCUGCGCGUUCGAGAAAAAAAA